Molecule: long non-coding RNA, 1274 nt
Organism: Brassica oleracea var. oleracea
Lineage: Eukaryota; Viridiplantae; Streptophyta; Magnoliopsida; Brassicales; Brassicaceae
Exons: 3
Source: RefSeq, a predicted model, not a curated record
AUCGUUCUUCGAUCUCUGCCAUUCGGAGAGACAUAUCUGAUUCCGUGGCGUCACGGAUUCCGUUCCUUGGUGUUUGGAUCACGUCCUUUAGCCUUCUUUCGAUCACUCGAAACGAAACUACUUCCAGAUCCAUCCCAUUAAACAUGUUUUUAAUUCUUUUGGCCACGAUCUACACUUUAAUGUGCGUUAAUCUUCGGUGUUUCUACUGGUAUAAAAAAGAUAUGCUUUCUUCCUCUCAAAACCAUCCUCUCUACAGAUGGUUCUCUCUCUUUCUCAUCUCCCUUUGCGAUUUCUCUGAGAUUAUAAGUUCCCAUUGUUAUUGUUUAGAAUUACUACUGUUUAUGUAUCUGACCGGAGUUAGAUACGGCGGUGUUGGGCCAUUCCAGGAAGCAACAGGCCUUGAAUCGCUUCAUCUCAACGGCUGCAGUUUCAGCAACCGUAAGAACAACAAAGAAAGCUUAUUUCCUUCAAAUGGCUAGCUCCUCUGAUCUGAAGUAGGUUCCUGUUCUUCCACCGUUGAGGUUAAGUUGCCGCGUUUAGCUCUAACUGGAAGUUCGCCGUAUGUCUCUCUUCGGGAAGAUGCAUCACCUUCUUUGGUAAAGGAGCUUACGUAUUCCUCUAAGGGAUCCCAAUCUCAAUCACCACCACGCCGUUGCUCAUGAAGGAAUUGGAUUCCCUUGCUGGGUUCUUCCAGAUCUUAUGUCUUUUCCUGAGUGAUUCAGACAAGAUGCUUACGACAAGCUUGAUGUGAUUGGUAUUGACGAAACAGAGAACUGGAGAUCUUUAUGAGUUUUGUUGCAAAGACGCUGAUGAUGAUGGCAACACUGUUAUUGUUGCAGUCGUUGAUGGUGAUUAUUUAAGGAGUUGGUGAUGUUCUUGAUAUUGUACCAAUAGAUGAUUCUGUCACAAAGCUAACUCCAAGGUGUGAGGUUUGCGGACACAAAGGUUUCUUCACUGUGAGGAAGACUUGUGACACCAGAACCGAGCUGAUCGGUGGGGUCGAUGUCUAUAUGCCCGUUUGUCUUAAGCACUAUAUCAAUAAUCAAAUUGUCAUCAAAGCUUCAAAGUAAGUUUUGGAUUCUGACAAGGUAAGAGCUGACACCUGUUUGGAGACAGUUGCUACUAUGAUCUAACUAUGACUUGCUGUGGAACGAAAUAAGCAUAUAUUAUAGUGAGAUUCUGUUCUUUGAAAGUGCCCUGUUGGUUUGUCAUUUUUUAGUCUUACAAGUUUUUUUUUGUAAAAGGCUUUCAUUUUCUUGAAUAGUAUGAUUAUC